GACGAACGCUGGCGGCGUGCUUAAUACAUGCAAGUCGAACGCAAAGGCCCUGCCUUGGUGGGCUGCUCGAGUGGCGAACGGGUGAGUAACACGUGAGUAACCUGCCCUUGACCUUGGGAUAACUUCAGGAAACUGGGGCUAAUACCGGAUAGGAGCACCUGUUGCAUGGCGGGGGCUGGAAAGUUUCGGUGGUUGGGGUUGGACAUGCGGCUUAUCAGCUUGAUGGUGGGGUAGUGGCAUAGCAAGGCUUUGGCGGGUAGCCGGCCUGGGAGGGUGACCGGCCACAUUGGGACUGGGGUAGGGCCCGGAGUGCUACGGGAGGCAGCGGUGGGAGAUAUUGCACAAUGGGCGGAGGCCUGAUGCAGGAACGCCGCGUGCGAGAGGACGGCCUUCGGGUUGGAAACCGCUUUCGCCUGUAACGAAGCGUGAGUGACGGUAAUUGGUAAAGAAGCACCGGCUAACUACGUG
Molecule: ribosomal RNA, 468 nt
Filed under: uncultured bacterium
Lineage: Bacteria
Description: partial 16S ribosomal RNA
Rfam family: Bacterial small subunit ribosomal RNA
Source: RNAcentral